RNAcentral lists this ribosomal RNA (490 nucleotides) under uncultured bacterium. RNAcentral describes it as "partial 16S ribosomal RNA". It matches the Rfam family "Bacterial small subunit ribosomal RNA", at positions 30 to 507 of the family's 1533-position model. The record is from RNAcentral.
AUUGAACGCUGGCGGCAUGCUUUACACAUGCAAGUCGGACGGCAGCACAGAGAAGCUUGCUUCUUGGGUGGCGAGUGGCGAACGGGUGAGUAAUAUAUCGGAACGUACCGAGUAAUGGGGGAUAACUAAUCGAAAGAUUAGCUAAUACCGCAUAUUCUCUGAGGAGGAAAGCAGGGGACCUUCGGGCCUUGCGUUAUUCGAGCGGCCGAUAUCUGAUUAGCUAGUUGGUGGGGUAAAGGCCUACCAAGGCGACGAUCAGUAGCGGGUCUGAGAGGAUGAUCCGCCACACUGGGACUGAGACACGGCCCAGACUCCUACGGGAGGCAGCAGUGGGGAAUUUUGGACAAUGGGCGCAAGCCUGAUCCAGCAAUGCCGCGUGUCUGAAGAAGGCCUUCGGGUUGUAAAGGACUUUUGUCAGGGAAGAAAAGGCUGUUGCUAAUAUCAAUAGCUGAUGACGGUACCUGAAGAAUAAGCACCGGCUAACUACGUG